Eurytemora carolleeae is the source of this 770-nucleotide long non-coding RNA. RefSeq lists it as uncharacterized. The record is from RefSeq and is a predicted model, not a curated record. Lineage: Eukaryota; Metazoa; Arthropoda; Copepoda; Calanoida; Temoridae. The transcript is spliced from 3 exons.
UUUGUGCUUUGUGGAAGCAACUAUGAAAAUUGUUAUAACACUCUUGGAAGCUAUUAUUGCACCUGUAUAAUUGGAUGGUAUGAUUGGACUCCAAGUGGAGGUUGCCGUAGAGAUUGCUUGGGUCGGGAAAACUUGGAUACUGAUUGCUGCACCACUGCUAACCCUUGUGACUAUGGGAAGGGAGACUGUGACAGUGACGCGCACUGCAAGGGUAGCCUGAGAUGUGGGGAUAAUUGGAACAAUUGUCGUGAUUUCUUUUCUGGAGCUGGGCCUCUGCGUGACUGCUGUUUAUAAUUCUGGUCCUGUAGCAGCAUUAUAGUAUUUGAAUUUGGACUUAGAAUUCAUAGCAUACCAUUUGUAUUUAAAAAAAAAUUAUUUCAUGCAUUGGAUCGGGUACAGGUGGGUCUAAAGGGUGGGCUGUUUUUCAAAAAAACGUCUUAAGUAGCUUUUUUUUCGUGUGAUUUAAUUGCUAAAUCUUACAUCUAUGAAAAGCCCUUGGGGAAAUAACUUAAAAAGCAUGUGUCAUGUCUUUUAAUUUGUUGAAAACUAAAUUUUCAUUUUUGAAAUUUUUUUGAAAUUUUUCGUUCUUUUUUUAAACUCUUUUUAGCGGCCUUAACUAUUUCUGUCAAUUCUUGUUUUGGAAGAGACGCCCCAUUAUACAGCAAUUUCAAUAAAAACCCAUCAAUUUUUAAGUUGUUAAUAAACGAAAAGAGCAAUUUAAUGGGACUGUAAACCUAAUUUCAAGUGACCCUCCAUGCAAAAAUGGUAAU